CUGAUUUCAUUUCUUAGCAUAAAUAUAAAGUGAAUGCUUUACCUUGGGAGUAUCGAUCACAGGAUGCAAGGAUUUCAGACAGGUAUCUGGAGCUGCAGGUAAAAGUUAGUUCCUAGUUUUUCUCUCUCUAAAUUUCUCUCUUGAGUCAAAGUCUGCAUCCAUUGCAGGAUCAGUGACCAAGAUUGGACAUGCUUCCAUGAAUCAAAACUUAUUGGUGGUUGCCACCAAGUUCUGUUCACUUCUUUUUGACCUAUAUCCAAGAGUUCUUUGCGAAAGCGAGCCUUGAAGAUUGCCGCCUCCAAGUCCCGUUUCGAACUCUUUAAUUUGAGUCUUUAUGAAUCAAGCCUUACUUGUUUUAGCCACCAAGUCCUGUUCAUACUCAUCCUAAUUAAACAAUAGAUCUUAUUUAUUUUUAUUUUUUUUUAUUAUAUAUAUAUAUACUUUUUUUUAAUAUAUAGACUAACUAAUCUAGGUUCGAAAUCUAGAGAGAGAAAGUGUGAUAAAUAAUCUAAACCAAGCGUUACCUUCCAG
Molecule: long non-coding RNA, 531 nt
Filed under: Brassica rapa (field mustard)
Lineage: Eukaryota; Viridiplantae; Streptophyta; Magnoliopsida; Brassicales; Brassicaceae
Description: long non-coding RNA (BRAP_LNC004373)
Source: RNAcentral